UCGAGCGAAUCGAUGGGAGCUUGCUCCCUGAAUUAGCGGCGGACGGGUGAGUAACACGUGGGCAACCUGCCUAUAAGACUGGGAUAACUUCGGGAAACCGGAGCUAAUACCGGAUACGUUCUUUUCUCGCAUGAAAAAAGAUGGAAAGACGGUUUCGGCUGUCACUUAUAGAUGGGCCCGCGGCGCAUUAGCUAGUUGGUGAGGUAAUGGCUCACCAAGGCGACGAUGCGUAACCGACCUGAGAGGGUGAUCGGCCACACUGGGACUGAGACACGGCCCACACUCCUACGGGAGGCAGCAGUAGGGAAUCUUCCGCAAUGGACGAAAGUCUGACGGAGCAACGCCGCGUGAACGAAGAAGGCCUUCGGGUCGUAAAGUUCUGUUGUUAGGGAAGAACAAGUACCAGAGUAACUGCUGGUACCUUGACGGUACCUAACCAGAAAGCCACGGCUAACUACGUGCCAGCAGCCGCGGUAAUACGUAGGUGGCAAGCGUUGUCCGGAAUUAUUGGGCGUAAAGCGCGCGCAGGUGGUUCUUUAAGUCUGAUGUGAAAGCCCACGGCUCAACCGUGGAGGGUCAUUGGAGACUGGGGAACUUGAGUGCAAAAGAGGAAAGUGGAAUUCCAAGUGUAGCGGUGAAAUGCGUAUAGAUUUGGAGGAACACCAGUGGCGAAGGCGACUUUCUGGUCUGUAACUGACACUGAGGCGCGAAAGCGUGGGGAGCAAACAGGAUUAGAUACCCUGGUAGUCCACGCCGUAAACGAUGAGUGCUAUUGUUAGAGGGUUUCCCGCCCUUUAGUG
Molecule: ribosomal RNA, 800 nt
Filed under: Bacillaceae bacterium
Lineage: Bacteria; Bacillati; Bacillota; Bacilli; Caryophanales; Bacillaceae
Description: bacterial SSU rRNA
Rfam family: Bacterial small subunit ribosomal RNA
Source: RNAcentral